Ixodes scapularis (black-legged tick) is the source of this 291-nucleotide non-coding RNA. The record is from Rfam. Lineage: Eukaryota; Metazoa; Arthropoda; Arachnida; Ixodida; Ixodidae.
AAGCAGCGUGUUUUUAUCCCUGUCUGUAAAGACUGGGUAAACCGUGGAACCUCCUUCGUGAUUGGGAUAGGGGCUUGCAAUUGUUACCCUUGAACGAGGAAUUCCCAGUAAGCGCGAGUCAUAAGCUCGCGUUGAUUACGUCCCUGCCCUUAGUACACACCGCCCGUCGCUACUACCGAUGGAAUGAUUUUGUCAGCUCUUCGGUCUGAUUCCCGGAGCGUUCUAUCGGUCGUCUCGGUGUCCUUGGGGUCGAAGAAGAGGAAGUUUGAAAUACAAUUCAGUUGAUAGUUC